Molecule: long non-coding RNA, 772 nt
Filed under: Manihot esculenta (cassava)
Lineage: Eukaryota; Viridiplantae; Streptophyta; Magnoliopsida; Malpighiales; Euphorbiaceae
Description: long non-coding RNA (MESC_LNC006614)
Source: RNAcentral
ACUUUUCUCUUGGCCAAAAUAACAAAACACAAUAAUUUACUAUCCAGUUAAAAUUUAGAACUAGUACAAGUUCUCCUGCAGAAUUAAUUUUCAGAAAAAAUGACCCAAAAAGCAAAGAGAAGUCAUGCCUCAAAACAUUCUCUUCAUCCCCUCGCGGUUUCUUGCCUCAUUCACGGCUACUGGCGAUGUCCCAGACCCAGUACGAAUUUAACAGAGCGUUGCCUUGCUUACAAUUAUUUGUCAGCUCAUUAAUGAGACAUCAAAGAUAGGGCCCCUUCCUAAAUUCUGAAAUUCAGCAAUGAAUACUUCAUAUUGCUUAGAAGGAGAGAUCUUCACAAAGGACCCACCAAAAGUUUUGAAAUGACUGAAAAGAACAAUAAAAAUAUAAAGACUACUGGAUCAUGUGCAACUGUAGAGGAUAACGAGGAAACUAGAACUUUGUAACAUUGAGUUCCUCAGACAACCAUAACUCUGGUCUUUGCUUAUAGAUUCCACUAGCUACAGAUCCAUUGAGUUUCUCCUUAACAAAUUUUCAAACUAAGGAAAUGAACUCCUAGAUAAGCAUAGGUUAGCGGGGAUCAUCCCGCAGUCUCUAAGAAGAGGAUACUUGAGUUAAAAGGAAAAAUGGGGAAAAAAAUUAAACUAGCCAAACCCAACAAAGCAACCUGAGGAAGUAGAUUGAGUUGCUCAACAGAAGUACUUACUGGAAGGCAAUAUGUAGCCUCUUGAAAAAGAAUCUAUAUGAACAUAUCUUUCCGUUAGAAUUGAGAAA